AGAGCGAACGCUGGCGGCAGGCCUAACACAUGCAAGUCGAGCGCGUGUAGCAAUACACGAGCGGCAGACGGGAGAGUAACACGUGGGAACGCGCCCUUCGGUUCGGAAUAACUCAGGGAAACUUGAGCUAAUACCGGAUACGCCCUUACGGGGAAAGAUUUAUUGCCGAAGGAACGGCCCGCGUCCGAUUAGCUAGUUGGUGAGGUAACGGCUCACCAAGGCGACGAUCGGUAGCUGGUCUGAGAGGAUGACCAGCCUCACUGGGACUGAGACACGGCCCAGACUCCUACGGGAGGCAGCAGUGGGGAAUAUUGGACAAUGGGCGCAAGCCUGAUCCAGCCAUGCCGCGUGGAUGAUGAAGGCCUUAGGGUUGUAAAGUCCGUUUUAACGGGGAAGAUAAUGACGGUACCCGUAGAAUAAGCCCCGGCUAACUUCGUGCCAGCAGCCGC
Molecule: ribosomal RNA, 449 nt
Filed under: uncultured bacterium
Lineage: Bacteria
Description: SSU rRNA
Rfam family: Bacterial small subunit ribosomal RNA
Source: RNAcentral